AGCCAUUAUCCAUGCCAUAUUCGGCUUCAGGCACAACCCUAAUUAUUACAUUACAUAUUUUAUUUUUACAUGCAACAUAGAUAAGGUCAUAUAGUAACAGCUCCACGCAAUAUUGUAAUUCUAAAAUUCACGUCGUACUUGCAAACACUUUUUAUGCAUUAUGGUUAAUGCAUGCAUGAUUGUUUCCAACAGCGCCGAGUAGUCUAUGCAAGCCCUACAGUAUGACAAAAAUAUCACUGUAUUUAUGUGCGCAUGCCCAGUAGAGCCAAACGGAUCCCUUCCUUGCUGCGCACAUUUGUCAUAUCCCGAGCUUUGCGUGUGUCUGUGCACUGUGCCAAGGCAUCAGAAAUUUAAAUUUUUGACCACAGACAUAAUGUCAGCAAAAGCAGCAUUAUUAACUAAAUAAAAUGAAAAUAAAGUAGGCCUACAUAAAAAUAAUUUGACCUUACAGCUCCAAACUCUGUUCUAGAGGUCCAGUGUCCUUUAUAGUUUAGCUCCCAGGAUCGGACUGGGGGUAAAACCAGUACUCAUUAUCAGGGCCCCAAAGGAAGAGAGGGCCCUUGAAAAGCAUGAAUCUGAAAUAUAUUUUAUUGUACCUGGAUAUUUUCAUGGGUGGGGGGCAUGGGGGCCCAUCAGGACUGCCUUUGCAUAGGGCCCGGGAUCUUGUGUAACACCCCUGUUAGCUUUAACCCUAGUUAUACACACUUGAACCUAAUCAAGCUCUUACUAGACACACUAGAAUCUUCCAGGUGUGUUAAGGCCAGUUGGAGCUAAGCUUUUCAGGACAUUGGCCAUCCAGGAUCUAGUUUGGAGACCCCUGUCCUACAGAGUUGUUACUUUGCACAUGCUUUUUGAUCAUUACAAAUAAUAAUGUAAAUUAAUUUUCUUAGAAUAGGAGAUAUGCUGUCUCUCGCAUCACAAACAUUAUCAGUAGUUAAGUAUGUGGUCUUGAAGAGGACCCUUUUUUCUCUCAUUUGGACUCGGUCUUGACUUGGGCUCGAAACUUUUGGACUUGGACUUGACUUGGACCCGAACCUCUUUGGACUCUGUCUUGACUCGGUCUCGACUAGUUCUGGACUUGGACUUGACUUGGACUCGACAAAGCUGGACUUGACUACAGCUCUACAAAUAACUCUCUUGGUACUUUGGUGUCAUACAAUGAUCGGUGCGCAGCAACGCUUCAAGUUGAAUGAACCAAAAAAAAAACAACAUGUACAUUGCCUUGAACGUUCUCUGCAGAUCUCACCUUCUCACACGCCAUGAUUGGUUGAUUAUGUAACAUACCUGCAUGUUAUUGGUCAAACUACUUUGGAUGUUUUAGGCAAUAUAGAAAACCUGGCAAGGACGCAUCCUGGGAAAAUGGCUCAUAUGGUCACCCUAAAUUAAAAUAUAUUUUAUGUGGGACUUGACAGUAAAAAGCUAACAUAUUGAUUAAGCUGGAGUUUAGCUUGGCUGUUGAGAAGAUCCUCUGCAAGUUUGUCAUCCCGAUUGAAUCCCAAACGAUCCAUUAAAUUCCUCCAUUUUGUAAAUGCACUGCUGGUGCCAGUGUGUCUCAGCGUGGCAAGUGUUUGAAUUUUGACUUUUACUUCUGUGCACCAAAUGAAUGAAAUUAAAUCUGCUACAGAAGCCACACCCCAAACUCAUCUGCUACAGUAGCUACACCCCAAACUCAGUCUGCUACAGUAGCUACACCCCAAACUCAGUCUAAUACAGUAGCCACAACCCAAAUCAGUCUAAUACAGCAGCCACACCCCAAACUAGUCUGCUACAGUAGCUACACCCCAAACUCAGUCUGCUACAGUAGCUACACCCCAAACUCAGUUUGCUACAGUAGCCACACCCCAAACUCAGUCUAAUACAGCAGCCACACCCCAAACUAGUCUGCUACAGUAGCUACACCCCAAACUCAGUCUGCUACAGUAGCUACACCCCAAACUCAGUCUAAUACAGUAGCCACAACCCAAAUCAGUCUAAUACAGCAGCCACACCCCAAACUAGUCUGCUACAGUAGCUACACCCCAAACUCAGUCUAAUACAGUAGCCACAACCCAAAUCAGUCUAAUACAGCAGCCACACCCCAAACUAGUCUGCUACAGUAGCUACACCCCAAACUCAGUCUGCUACAGCAGCCACACCCCAAACUCAGUCUGCUACAGUAGCCACACCCCAAACUCAGUCUAAUACAGCAGCCACACCCCAAAUCAGUCUAAUACAGCAGCCACACCCCAAACUCAGUCUGCUACAGUAGCUACACCCCAAACUCAGUCUAAAACAGUAGCUACACCCCAAACUCAGUCUAAUACAGUAGCCACAACCCAAAUCAGUCUAAUACAGCAGCCACACCCCAAACUAGUCUGCUACAGUAGCUACACCCCAAACUCAGUCUAAUACAGUAGCCACAACCCAAAUCAGUCUAAUACAGCAGCCACACCCCAAACUAGUCUGCUACAGUAGCUACACCCCAAACUCAGUCUGCUACAGUAGCUACACCCCAAACUCAGUUUGCUACAGUAGCCACACCGCAAACUCAGUCUAAUACAGCAGCCACACCCCAAACUAGUCUGCUACAGUAGCUACACCCCAAACUCAGUCUGCUACAGUAGCUACACCCCAAACUCAGUCUAAUACAGUAGCUACACCCCAAACUCAGUCUGCUCCAAAAGCCACACACCAAACUCAGACUGCUACAGUAACCACGCCCCGAACUCAGUUUACUACAGCAGCCACACCCCAAUCUCAGGCUGCUACAGCAGCCACACCCCAAAUUCAGCCUGCUACAGUAGCCACACCUCAAACUCAGUUUACUACAGCAGCUACACCCCAAACUCAACAUUCUACAGUAACCACGCCCCAAACUCAGCCUGCUUUAGUAGAUACACCCCAAACUCAGUCUACUACAGCAGCCACACACCAAACUCAGCCUGCUAAAGUAAACACAUCCCAAAGUUAUUCUGCUUCAGCAGCCACACCCCAAACUCAACACCCCUAAGAAGCCACACACAAAAACCUGCCUACUGUAUUAGCCACACCCCAAACUCAAUCUACUACAGCAGCCACACCCCAAAUUCAGCCUGCUGGAGAAGCCACACCCCAAACUCUACCUGCUAUAGUAGCCACACCCCAAACUCUACCUGCUAUAGUAGCUUCACCCCAAUCUUAACAUUCUACAGAAGCCACACCCCAAACCCAGCCUGCUACAGUAGCUACACCCCAAACUCAACAUUCUACAGAAGCCACACCCCAAACUCAGCCUGCUGGAGUAGCCACACCCCAAACUCUACCUGCUAUAGUAGCCACACCCCAAACUCUACCUGCUACAGUAGCUACACCCCAAACUCAACAUUCUACAGAAGCCACACCCCAAACCCAGCCUGCUACAGUAGCUACACCCCAAACUCAACAUUCUACAGAAGCCACACCCCAAACUCAGCCUGCUAUAGUAGCCACACCCCAAACUCAACAUUCUACAGAAGCCACACCCCAAACUCAGCCUGCUAUAGUAGCCACACCCCAAACUCAACAUUCUACAGAAGCCACACCACAAACCCAGCCUGCUACAUGAAUUAGCCUGGCCAUGAAAUCAAACUGUUUCUUAUAUACAAUGUGCAUUGAUUUUUGUUUGUCUCAACCAGUCUCAACCAAUAUAAAAUAUGGUCUCGGACUUGAGUCUGUACUCGGGUGAGAGUGAUUUCACCAAGUACAACACGUUCCUGGAAUUAAAAAUCAGAAUUGAGAUAUAACUUUUCAGGAAAUAUCUGUUUUAGGCUUACAGUCAGGGUUAGGUGCUUCUACACCCUUGUUAAUCAGCUAUUAUUUCCCACUGAUUUUAGGAAUAAAUUAUGGGUAGGGUUAGGAGUUAGGAUCGGGCUAAAUCUAUAUUUUUGGAUAAUAAUGUUGAUCCAGGAUAACGUCUACUUUGCAAGAAGAUCAUGGCAACCCUGUACUUGAGAUCUGAAUGUUUUAGCUGCUGUAUUUUAAAGCACAUACACGGAUUGAAAUGGCUUUGUGAUCUGUUUUGUCAUUUAACUGAUGUCAGAAUACCUUUAAAAGAAGAUUUUGAAUAAACUGUAAGUACAUAUUGAUGUGUGUGUGUGUG
Carassius gibelio (silver crucian carp) is the source of this 4096-nucleotide long non-coding RNA. RefSeq lists it as uncharacterized. The transcript is spliced from 3 exons. NCBI's taxonomy places the organism in Eukaryota, Metazoa, Chordata, Actinopteri, Cypriniformes, Cyprinidae. The record is from RefSeq and is a predicted model, not a curated record.